GGAAGUAAAAGUCGUAACAAGAUCUCCGUUGGUGAACCAGCGGAGGGAUCAUUACAGAGUUGCAAAACUCCCAAACCAUUGUGAACGUUACCUAUCCCGUUGCUUCGGCGGGCGGCCCGGGCCCCGCGCCCGGCGCCCCCCGGCCCCCCGUGGGCGCCCGCCGGAGGUAAACCAAACCCUUGAAUUGCAUGGCCUCUCUGAGUCUUCUGUACUGAAUAAGUCAAAACUUUCAACAACGGAUUUCUUGGUUCUG
This 253-nucleotide unclassified non-coding RNA is filed under the name plant metagenome. RNAcentral's name for it is "partial contains small subunit ribosomal RNA, internal transcribed spacer 1, and 5.8S ribosomal RNA". The stretch from base 1 to 54 matches the Rfam family "Eukaryotic small subunit ribosomal RNA", at positions 1778 to 1831 of the family's 1831-position model. The record is from RNAcentral.